RNAcentral lists this small nuclear RNA (19 nucleotides) under Arabidopsis thaliana (thale cress). RNAcentral's name for it is "snRNA_01600". The record is from RNAcentral. Lineage: Eukaryota; Viridiplantae; Streptophyta; Magnoliopsida; Brassicales; Brassicaceae.
GAUGACCCGUCUUUAAAUC